AUUGAACGCUGGCGGCAGGCCUAACACAUGCAAGUCGAACGGUAACAGGAAGCAGCUUGCUGCUUCGCUGACGAGUGGCGGACGGGUGAGUAAUGUCUGGGAAGCUGCCUGAUGGAGUGGGAUAACUACUGGAAACGGUAGCUAAUACCGCAUAAUGUCGCAAGACCAAAGAGGGGGACCUUCGGGCCUCUUGCCAUCGGAUGUGCCCAGAUGGGAUUAGCUUGUUGGUGGGGUAACGGCUCACCAAGGCGACGAUCCCUAGCUGGUCUGAGAGGAUGACCAGCCACACUGGAACUGAGACACGGUCCAGACUCCUACGGGAGGCAGCAGUGGGGAAUAUUGCACAAUGGGCGCAAGCCUGAUGCAGCCAUGCCGCGUGUAUGAAGAAGGCCUUCGGGUUGUAAAGUACUUUCAGCGGGGAGGAAGGGAGUAAAGUUAAUACCUUUGCUCAUUGACGUUACCCACAGAAGAAACACCGGCUAACUCCGUG
RNAcentral lists this ribosomal RNA (490 nucleotides) under uncultured bacterium. RNAcentral describes it as "partial 16S ribosomal RNA". It matches the Rfam family "Bacterial small subunit ribosomal RNA", at positions 30 to 507 of the family's 1533-position model. The record is from RNAcentral.